AUCACGCGGCGGAAGUAGUGCUUGGGCUCGGAGGUGGCGGCAGGCACCUCCUCCAGGUGCGCGUGGUUGUGCAGCAGGCGGCGGUGGUGGUGGUGAUGAUGGCCGGCGUCCGCGUGGGCAGCAUCGGUCUGUAGCAAUGAUGAGAUGGACACAGCGUUGCGUUUAGCCGGGAACAACCCUGGGUACCAGAAAGGCGUGUGCGGACCCAGAGGCGGCAAGGUGCGCGCCCUCACGCAAAGGCUCGCCCAACCAAUAAUGGAGCAAAUCCCUGAAGGGCUCCUCCAAACCUGCGAGCCUGCGUCCCCACAGCUGUCGCCCCCAUAUCUUACCUCCGUGGAGUUGCACUCCUUCUCGCCCACAGCCAGGCGGUAGCGGUUCCACUGGCCGAAGCUGAUGCGCUGCGGCUGGGUCAUGACGUGCCACAGCAGGCCCUCGCUGCAGGGCGGGGUGGUGAGGCUGCCCUCGUAGGUGACGUAGUCGCGGUCGCUGGGCAGCAGCUCACCCAGCUUGAUGGUGGUGCCCGCCGGCAGGUUGGUGAAGGUGCCCUCGCGCGUGGGCAUGUUCGCAAAGAUGGCUGCAGAGGACGGGUCGAUGAAGUGUGGAGAUCAGUCAACGUGCAAACGAGCAUGUAAGGGCACAACAGAGGAUGAAAUAGAGGCACUGGAUCAGGCACCUCCUGAGAAGCGCUCAGCGGUCCUCCUGAGAAGCGCUCAUAAGGCAUGCACGUGCGUACCGAUUCCACACAAACUGUGACAGCUUCGCACAAACCCGCCCCCGCCCCGCCUCCACCGCCCCGCCUCUGCUGCCCGACUCACGCUCAAGCAGCUCGUUAUCGGGGCCGUUGUCGAGCUGGAACAGGAUGCCGGUGACGCUGAAGCAGCCGCCCUUGCAGGCCUCUAGCUUGUCAGUCACCUUGUGCACAAUGUGCAACUCAAGAGGAAAGAUCUUGCCUGCAGGCGGUAGACGUAACGAAGGAGGACACCAGCGGAUGUUUUAUGACACGCGGAAGGCAGGUGCUUGCUUGAUACCUGGUGGGACCUUAUCGCUUUAUGGGAGCCGAAUGCUUGAAACACCCCUCCCAACACCUGGCCCUGUCAGAAGUCACGAGUUACGACCACGCCCACGCACCCGCCAGCAGGUGCUCCGAGGUGGAGUGGAAGUGGAACUGGGUGGGCACGGCAGUCACGCGGUCGGAGGCGUCGUUGGGGCGCAUCUCCAGCACGUCCACGAUGCGGUUGCUCUGGUUGCGCAUGGCUGCGAGCACGUGGGAGGACGGGCAUGGGGGGCGAGAAGAGGUCAAGACGGUACGUGGAUAUGCCUAUCUGGGAAGCACUAACACUUGUAAGCAUCAAGGACCGAUGUCGUCAUGGGAAGAAAAGGGGCCAGUGAUUGCGGAUUGGGUUGUCGACAGGGCCUGCACUGGCGUAAUGCGGUAGAUGCAGCACCAGCUGACGCACCAGGGAUGGCGAUGGUGGCAUGGCCGGCGUAGUCGUAGGUCCACUGCACCUGGAUGGUGUGGCCUGAGAGCAGGAUGGAGUGGCGGGAUGGAGGCAGGCAGGCAAAAUGCUUCAGUCAGGUUUAGCGGAAACACCACGUGCUUGCAUGGAUUGGGUCUGGUGCUUGAAUCCUUGACACAACAGACCCCAAGCGCCGUGGUGUCUCAGCUACCGCACAAGGCGGGGUGACCAAGCGUGCUCGCACUCCACGCUACCGGCUUGUGGACUGCGUCCCUUUUGUAGCAAAUGCAACUAAACGGCUUGGCGCCAUGAAUCCUUUCUGUGCGGUCCGCCGCGUUGCAAAAGCCCACCGGCCACCUUGCCGUCUCUCUCGCACCGUUGUUGAUGACUUGAACCGAGCUGCCGUUGGACAUCAGGUCAGGGUACGACCACUGCAGUAUUAAUAAGGCAGGGAAAGAGAAUGGAGAGUAACGGGGCCUUAAAAACCCGCUGUCAAUCUGGCUGGCGUUGCGGCACAAAACCGGCCGUUGAUCGCAAUCAGGAGGUUCGCACCAGCAAAACCGGGCCACCCAACCAUGGAAACCCUGAUGCCUCCCAUGUUAGGAUGCUUGAAACCAUUGCCCCUGCUCCAGUCUACGCGCAAGCACGCUUCGGGGCGCAAGCCAGGCGGUUAAGUUGGAUGGCGCCGUGACAGGCACACACCCUCGCACACGCGGCGCAAGGCGGCGCACUACGCUGGCCUGUUGUGUCAUGCUGGCUACUCACCUGGGUCUGCAGGCCGGUGGCAAUCUUGGAACCCUUCCCGUCCAGGACAUGGUACUGGGGCACGUUGAUGGGCGACUGCGCGUGCGGUUGCGGGGGAGGAAGGGGCGGGAGCGAAUUCGAGGGCAACCUCCCAGAAAGUUCACGUGACAAUGCCCAGUCGGCAGAAACUCUCAACAUGUAUUGUUACGGACCUGCUUGCGGCCAGUCUUGCAGACCCAGGGGUUGCCCGCGCCGUCCUUGCCCUCCCUGCGUGCGAUGGCGAAAAAAGUCCGUUUGGUCUCUCAUGGCCUCGCCGCGAUCCCGCGCAACCAACGCAAGCGCCUAGCGCCGCACUAAUAAUUCAGGGGUGCAAAGCAGUGGGUGCCGGACGGCGGCCACAAGUCACUCCAUUCAUGUGAGCAGGCCAGGUCCUUACCAGUUCUCGCCAUUGAGACUAUGAUCCCAGUGGUCGCCUGUGUGAGUGGCCUGUCAAACAAAAGCGAGGGCGCAAGCGGCGGUCAGGACUCACCCAAGCAACGGGCAUGCCUGCCCGAAGCUGCGCAGAAUGCCGACUAGUAGUAAUACCCAUGGAUAUGACUUCAUUUGCAGCCGGAAACGAGCAGUUGAAUGCUCAGUGACGCAGUCGCGGUGAGACAUUCACGUUUAUGCCAAACGGCAACCAGGGGCCAAAACAACAUCCUCGUUCCAACUCGCACUUGAUCAUUGCGAGACAUGCAGCUUCGGACGUGCGCACCUUGGAGUCCGGCGACGUGCCGAACUUGUAGAUGCAAGCCUGCGCGCAGCCCGCAAGCGCCAGCGCGGCCAGGAGUAGAGCGCCAGUACGCGCCAUGGUGUUCAAUUGAUCAAUUGUAGUAACAAACUAUCCCAAAUUGCCCUACGAAGCAUGCUUUUAUCGCGCCGAAAAGCGUGGCAUCAAGCCGUACUUUCAUCGUCAGCGCGCCAGGAUUGCCAGCCAGCAAGCUUUACAACAGACAUAUAUACAAACCAGUUGUUUGUCGCGGACGUGGGCGAGCCGCUGCAUCUGAAGCCGCGCCGCUCUGCAGCUUGGAGCGGGCCGUUGUCUGCCAUCAGAUUGCAUGAGUCACACGAGGAAGUUUCAUGUGAGCGCCUGUCGGGCUCCGUGCGUUUGGGCUUCGACUCGCUGCAUGUCUGCGCCUUGCCCCCGCCUCCAGCUGUCUCCAGCCCCCCUCCCCCCGGCCCCCGCUCCCCUGGAGCUCCCCUUUCGGCAAUAACCAUGGCUGGCCUCGGACGACGACUGUCAGCCUUGCUCUGCGGUUGCCUCUGGUGCUCAUCCGUGGAUGCUGGUCACCUUCCUGCAGGUGCGCUGCGACUCUGCUUACUUCACGAGUGGGGCGUUGCGAUGCGUAUGUCUGGUGCUAUCGCCUGGUUGGGCGCCCAAAGCGUGAGGAAUGCGCGUCAGCAAACUUCCAGCCAGCCAGCAACUUGUCGGUACAGUAAGCCCAGCGUUCGGCCAGCCGCGCGCUCAUGCAAAUUGUUUACCAUCUGCUGGGUCUGGGAAAUCAGCUGCACCCUACAUGACUUCACCAACCUGGCUUAACACCGUCCCAUCGCACACGCUUUCGGCAACAAGCAUAUCCGCAUGGCCAGAGGCUGCCGUUCACAUUCCCACUGCUUGAUCUUGCCGUGUGAUGUGACAUUACUUGACGGGACUGUGGCGGGUGCUCCCAUCAAAACCCGUGCCGAGAGCCCUAAGCAGUUUAUGGCUAGUCACCAAGUCCUCUUACCGGAGUUGCUGCGACAGGGACAGUCCGACCACCAAAAGUGCGUCAUUGAGGCAGAACGAAAAGCGUGAACACAAGCAGCGACAGCAGCUCCUUGUACCGUUGACAUAACGGCGUGCCAGGCGUCGCGGCAAUCCACGGCCCAAAGCUCGGGACACACAGUGUGUGGCGUUGCGGUGUGUGUGUGUGUGUGUGUGUGUGUGUGUGUGUGUGUGUGUGUGUGUGUGUGUGUGUAUGUGUGUGUGUGUGUGUGUGUGUGUGUGUGUGUGUGUGUGUGUGUGUGUGUGUGUGUGUGUUGCUAUCCCCUGGCGAUGAGGUAGACACUUGCGGCCUCAGACGGGAGGCGUGACUUGUGCCCACUUUUGGGGCGCAGCCCACGUUUUCCCUUUGCGAGGGACACCCAGGGCCUUUUUUGUCCAUGGGCAUCUUACAUGUCGUACACGUCUCUGCCUCAACUGCACCGUUGUAGCUACCUCGCUCCCCACAUCCUGCACGUCUUAAAACAUCCGGUCAGCGUCUCCUGUCCUCCAUCUCCAAGAAAACAAUGCUUCACAUUCGACAUGGCUAUGGGAUUGCCCAGCCAGGCCUUGCAGCUACUGGAGAGCAACUGCAUUGAUCGGCAUGUGCGACGGCGCGCAUGAGGCCAGCCCGCCAACAACCCAGCCAGCCAGACAGAGGCCGGACCGUGCAUGCUGGCAACCAUACCGUGCUGAAGCGCCCCACACCAGCCUUAUAUAACUUGCAUAAGUACGGAUCACUCAUCGAGGAGAACCGGUGCCUCCCCUGUACGCAAAUGUCUCGCGUGCAGACACUCUCGAUUGCUGUCGAAGUUCCCGUUAUUACCCGCGUACGCCCUCUACGUACGUAUUACUUGCCUCACUACCAUCCAUCGCCACAACGUCCGGCCCACUGACUUUAUUCCGCUCUCAGACUGCCCCAUCGUGGAACCAACUCCAUACCUUCCUUACUUCUUUACUAGUCAGGAGAAAACAGGAGGUCCCGCCGCCCGUCCGGUACUGUGUGUAUGCGUGCUGCACCGCAGAACUAUUUCGGUGUACUAUGGAAAAAAUUGGAAAGGCCCGCCAAGCGCGGGUCGUCAAGAACACCAUCGAAUGACACACCAAACCGUGAAGCAAAGCCUGGAAAAUGGAAUGCCUGCUGGCCGUGCCGACGGUGGUAGCGUGACUAACUACUGGGAAGUUUAGUGAUAGCGGGCCAGCUUGAUGGUGCGGCCGUUGGCGUACUGGGGGUUGCGGAAGUUCUGGCCAAAGGCAACGGCCUUGCAGGUGUCUGUCGCAUUGGGGGGGAGGCAAAGAGGGAGGCAAUAAGGUCGGGGUUAGGGGGCGUUACAAAAGAAACACGGCGCGCAGGCGCGCAGGCACACGCAGGAGUGGACGACCACGUGCACGGACUUGCUUGGCAGCAGCUCGGACCGACUAUUGGGCAGACGCAAUCCAAUGGAACUCAGCACGCAUGACUCGGUGUCUCCCCUUGGGGGAGCCUUUGGGAUACCGCGCCCUCGCCCAGCUUCUAGGGUACAAUGCAUGCCGGUACUCCCUUUUUACCACUCUCAGGUAAACUCACAGGCAUCGGGGUUCGCGGACUCGGCCAGCAUCACGCGGCGGAAGUAGUGCUUGGGCUCGGAGGUGGCGGCAGGCACCUCCUCCAGGUGCGCGUGGUUGUGCAGCAGGCGGCGGUGGUGGUGGUGGUGGCCGGCGUCCGCGGCGGUCUGCACGCGUGGUAAAUGAACAUGGGCAGCACAUAGGCGUGCGUGACAGGAGCACUGACCAGUGACGCAGAUUUGACCCGGCAGCCGCCACCGUCACCCGACACCUCGCUCUUCUUGCCCGUUCCCAGGACUCCCCCGUUUGUAGGGGCGUCUUACCUCCGUGGAGUUGCACUCCUUCAGGCCCACAGCCAGGCGGUAGCGGUUCCACUGGCCGAAGCUGAUGCGCUGCGGCUGGGUCAUGACGUGCCACAGCAGGCCCUCGCUGCAGGGCGGGGUGGUGAGGCUGCCCUCGUACGUUACGUAGUCGCGGUCGCUGGGCAGCAGCUCACCCAGCUUGAUGGUGGUGCCCGCCGGCAGGUUGCUGAAGGUGCCCUCGCGCGAGGGCAUGUUCGCAAAGAUGGCUGCAGAGGACGGGCCGAUGAAGUGUGGCGAUCAGUAAACGUGCAAACGAGCAUGUAAGGGCACAACAGAGGAUGAAAUAGAGGCACUGGAUGAGGCACCUCCUGAGAAGCGCUCAGCGGUCUGCCAUGCACGUACGUACCAAAUCCACACAAACCGUGACAGCUUCGUACAAACCCGCCCCCGCCCCGCCUCCACCACCCCGCCCCUGCUGCCCGACUCACGCUCAAGCAGCUCGUUAUCGGGGCCGUUGUCGAGCUGGAACAGGAUGCCGGUGACGCUGAAGCAGCCGCCCUUGCAGGCCUCCAGCUUCUCAGUCACCUGGUGCACAAUGUGCAACUCAAGGGGAUAGAUCUUGCCUGUAGGCGGUAGACGUAACGAAGGAAAGGCACCAGCGGAUGUGUUGUGUGCGGAAGGCAGGUGCUAGGUGGGGUGGGGGUUGGGACUUGUGGGACCUUUCGUUUGGUUGGAGCCCAUUGCCUACUUAGAGCUUUACACCUCUCCCAACACCCUUCUCAACACCCGCCCCUGUCAAAAGUCAAGAGUUGCGCCCACGCCCACGCACCCGCCAGCAGGUGCUCCGAGGUGGAGUGGAAGUGGAACUGGGUGGGCACGGCAGUCACGCGGUCGGCGGCGUCGUUGGGGCGCAUCUCCAGCACGUCCACGAUGCGGUUGGUCUGGUUGUGCAUGGCUGCGAGCACGUGGGAGGAGAAGGAGGAGGUUACCAAUGACGUGAGACAAGAUACGCGGCGUUGGCACGCUAUGGUACCGAAUAGAUAGGAGAUGCAGAGAUGCAGCACCAGCUGACGCACCAGGGAUGGCGAUGGUGGCAUGGCCGGCGUAGUUGUAAGUCCACUGCACCUGGAUGGUGUGGCCUGAGGAUAGGGGUGGCGGGAUGGAGGCAGGCAGGAUUUGGUGAGGUUACCGACCGUAGAAAACCACCGCAGUGUCCCAGAUACUGCAACAAACUUCUUCGCCCCACAACGCCUGCAAGAAACCAAGGCACCCAGAUGCAUGACUGCGCACAAGGCUGGGUUACUAAGCGUGCUCGCACUCCACGCUACCGGCUCGUGAACUGCGUCAGCUGGCAGGUCCCUUCCGUAGCAAAUGCAAUCUAAACUGCUUGGCGCUAUGAAUCCUUCUGUGCGGUCCGCCGCGUUGCAAAACCCAUCCAGCCACAUCGCCUCGCUCUCACCGUUGUUGAUGACUUGGACCGAGGUGCCGUUGGACAUCAGGUCAGGGUACGACCACUGCAGUAUGAACAAGGCAGGGAAAGAGGAGGGAGGUUAAAGUGGCCAGUGAAACCCGCUGGCAAUCUGGCCGGCGUUGCGCGGUACAAAACCGGUGGUUAAUCGCAAUCAGGCGGCUCGCCCCGGCAAAAUAAACCGGGCCAUCCAACCAUGGAAACCCUGACUCCUCCCAUGUUAGGGUGCUUGAACCCUUGCCCGUGCUCCAGUCUCCGCGCAAGCGCCCUUCCGGGGCGCUGGCGGGCCGGUUAGGUUGGAUGGCGCCGUGACAGCACACGUGGCGCGACACGCUGCCUCCCAC
This 7640-nucleotide long non-coding RNA is filed under the name Chlamydomonas reinhardtii. RNAcentral describes it as "long non-coding RNA (CREI_LNC000384)". The record is from RNAcentral. Lineage: Eukaryota; Viridiplantae; Chlorophyta; Chlorophyceae; Chlamydomonadales; Chlamydomonadaceae.